RNAcentral lists this ribosomal RNA (233 nucleotides) under uncultured bacterium. RNAcentral's name for it is "partial 16S ribosomal RNA". It matches the Rfam family "Bacterial small subunit ribosomal RNA", at positions 118 to 347 of the family's 1533-position model. The record is from RNAcentral.
UGAGUAACCUGCCCUUAACUCUGGGAUAAGCCUGGGAAACUGGGUCUAAUACCGGAUAUGACUCCUCAUCGCAUGGGUGGGGGGUGGAAAGCUUUAUUGUGGUUUUGGAUGGACUCGCGGCCUAUCAGCUUGUUGGUGAGGUAAUGGCUCACCAAGGCGACGACGGGUAGCCGGCUGAGAGGGUGACCGGCCACACUGGGACUGAGACAUGGCCCAGACUCCUACGGGAGCAG